This 253-nucleotide ribosomal RNA is filed under the name uncultured bacterium. RNAcentral's name for it is "partial 16S ribosomal RNA". It matches the Rfam family "Bacterial small subunit ribosomal RNA", at positions 524 to 776 of the family's 1533-position model. The record is from RNAcentral.
UACGAAGGGGGCUAGCGUUGCUCGGAAUUACUGGGCGUAAAGCGUGUGUAGGCGGCUCUGCAAGUCGGAUGUGAAAGCCCCGGGCUCAACCCGGGAAGUGCACUCGAUACUGCAGAGCUAGAGUGUGGGAGAGGUUGGUGGAAUUCUCGGUGUAGAGGUGAAAUUCGUAGAUAUCGAGAGGAACACCGGCGGCGAAGGCGGCCAACUGGACCACUACUGACGCUGAGACACGAAAGCGUGGGGAGCAAACAGG